Molecule: unclassified non-coding RNA, 221 nt
Filed under: Genista gasparrinii
Lineage: Eukaryota; Viridiplantae; Streptophyta; Magnoliopsida; Fabales; Fabaceae
Also listed under: 1 other name
Description: sequence contains ITS2
Source: RNAcentral
CAUCGUUGCCCCUGUUCCUUGGCCACGUGCUAGGCACCGAGUGGGGCGAAUGUUGGCCUCCCGUGAGCAGUGUCUCACGGUUGGUUGAAAACUGAGUUCGCGGUGGAGGGCGCCGUGAUGGAAGGUGGCUGAGUUAAAGCUCGAGACCGAUCGUGCGUGUCACCCCCACCAGCUUUGCAACUCUGUGACCCAUGGGGGUCUGUUGGCCUCCUAAGACGGGA